GCGAACGGGUGAGUAACACGUGSKUAAUCUGCCCUGCACUUCGGGAUAAGCCUGGGAAACUGGGUCUAAUACCGGAUAUGAACUCCUGCCGCAUGGUGGGGGUUGGAAAGUUUUUCGGUGCAGGAUGAGCCCGCGGCCUAUCAGCUUGUUGGUGGGGUAAUGGCCUACCAAGGCGACGACGGGUAGCCGGCCUGAGAGGGUGAUCGGCCACACUGGGACUGAGACACGGCCCARACUCCUACGGGAGGCAGCAGUGGGGAAUAUUGCACAAUGGGCGAAAGCCUGAUGCMGCGACGCCGCGUGGGGGAUGACGGUCUUCGGAUUGUAAACCCCUUUCAGUAGGGACGAAGCGCAAGUGACGGUACCUGCAGAAGAAGCACCGGCUAACUACGUGCCAGCAGCCGCGGUAAUACGUAGGGUGCGAGCGUUGUCCGGAAUUACUGGGCGUAAAGAGCUCGUAGGCGGUUUGUCACGUCGUCUGUGAAAUCCCUCGGCUUAACCGGGGGCGUGCAGGCGAUACGGGCAGACUUGAGUACUACAGGGGAGACUGGAAUUCCUGGWGUAGCGGUGAAAUGCGCAGAUAUCAGGAGGAACACCGGUGGCGAAGGCGGGUCUCUGGGUAGUAACUGACGCUGAGGAGCGAAAGCAUGGGUAGCGAACAGGAUUAGAUACCCUGGUAGUCCAUGCCGUAAACGGUGGGCGCUAGGUGUGGGGUCCUU
RNAcentral lists this ribosomal RNA (719 nucleotides) under Dietzia maris. RNAcentral's name for it is "bacterial SSU rRNA". The record is from RNAcentral. Lineage: Bacteria; Bacillati; Actinomycetota; Actinomycetes; Mycobacteriales; Dietziaceae.